GAUGCACUAUGCAAAUAUACGUUCAAGAUGUACUUUUAAAAUCAAACAAAUUUAUUGUUUUUUAGUGUCCAAGCUCAGAUAUAUGUAUGAACAUUGUUCUGUGCAGUACAAACUGCUAAUUUCCUAUUUUCUUCUCCAAUUGCAGCAUCAAAUGUGAGCGAUUAUGUUGCCAUAUAUUUUGAUGCACCUUCAUCUAGCAGCAGGAUUACAAGUGGGGUGGUUUUCAUGGCUCCUGUAAAGGCUUUGAUUGAUGACAAUGUCAAAGUCAAAUUCAUGCGCCAGAACAGCAAUGGUCUGUAUGAAUUUACAGAGGACUGUGAAGCCCAUCAGCCUAAAAAAGAUGUACCGGUAAUACAGAAGAUGACUCUACCAACCAGGACCCCUACCCCAGCAGGCAGAGCUUACCUUUAUAAUUUUUAAGAAGGAGAACUGGACAUGUUGGCAGAUAAAUUUCUUUGAAAUAAGAAGUAGAUCACAAUUGUGUUCCAGGACAAAAACCUGUAAAUACUUACCAUGCUAUUGGUUUCAAAUAUAUGAAUGUCUGUGUAAAUGUAAACACAUAACAAACAAGUUCGUGGAAGCCACUGUGCGGAAAUUUAAUUCUUUGCACUAAGAAUAAAUGAUGACAAAGACGCAAGUGAAGGGUAGUGGUACAUUGCUAUGAAUUAACAUAAAUGGUUUCUAUGUGAACAAUUAUUUUAAGUACUUUACUUACAGUUCAAGAUUUCAUCAAACCUUCAAAAGUAAGGUUAAAUUUCGCUUUGUAUAUUGCCUUUGUAGUUGACAAUAUAGUGUGUUAACAUGUUUGAAGCCUCCGAAACACUUCUUUGAACUGAUCCUAUACAUGUAUAUGUUUCCUGAAUGUUUCAACUUUGAUAUGAGAAAAGUGAUUUCCUUGGAAAUUACAUACUUGACAAUAUAUUCCCUGAGUAUCAGCACAGAUUUGAAAUCCUCAUGGAUUCUAUUAAGUGACUUUGCAAUGUUUGUGUACUGAACAUAAAACUCAUCGUAUUAAGUAAAGAUAAUUUGUAACAUACAUGUACCGUACUUUAUAUUAACAAGUAUUUUUACUCUCUAAACAAAUGUUUUAGGUGUUAUAUUAGUAAUUUACCAUAUCAUUAACAGUUUUAAGUUGAAUUUUUCUUAAUAUGUUACCUAAGUAAUGGACAACAUUUUAUGUUAACAUGAUUGAAGCCUCCGAAACAGGCAUUUUGUUAACCUGAAGCCUCCGAAACACACACAUAAGAAAUUUUCAACUUCCUCAUUUGAAAUGCGAUUUCUUUGGAAUUUGCAUGGUAAUUAGCCCUCACUGAAUGGUAUUUGUAGAGUAAUUUUUAUUUUGCUCCCCCUCUUGGAAGAUAGGUAAAUUUGAAAAAUUAAAUGUCAAAGUCAUAUUUUAUCUUGAAUUUGACAAACGCAUUGAAUUUUUUUAAAGACCAAAUAAGUUUGACCAAAAAAGCUUUAUAAGCCUUUAAGUACAUUAGAAUAGCAAAUGAAAAAUUGCAAUUGAAUUAUGUUUGGAGAACAAAUGUUGUCAUUUAAGUUGAUAGAAUUAAAAUGUUGUUUUUGUUCAAAUUUA
This 1579-nucleotide long non-coding RNA is filed under the name Strongylocentrotus purpuratus (purple sea urchin). RNAcentral describes it as "uncharacterized LOC105440318". Lineage: Eukaryota; Metazoa; Echinodermata; Echinoidea; Camarodonta; Strongylocentrotidae. The record is from RNAcentral.